This 507-nucleotide long non-coding RNA is filed under the name Androctonus crassicauda. Lineage: Eukaryota; Metazoa; Arthropoda; Arachnida; Scorpiones; Buthidae. The record is from RNAcentral.
CCAUCUAUGGGUUAUGCGAUGCCAGAGACAUCCCUUAAACCAGGGUCUGUACCAGUCAUGCAUAAUUUUUCUUAUUUCUGUGUCGCCUUUGAUUGCAGGUUGGUGGGGGUCUGGAUUGCAUGGGCCGCACGCCGUCUGCAUGACUUUGGCGGUGUUGGCGGAUCAUUGGUAUUGGCAACAUCUUUGUUCGCCUUCAUCCUCUCAGUUUGAAUACUCUCAAUGGUACUGAUCCUAUUGUGUUUCACAGUGUUUUUAUAACCUUGACCUGGUCCCAUCUCAUUUCUACAUCAGCCUCAUACACUUUAAGAGCAAGUGCUGUCCUAAGUAUCAUUGAGAGUAUUCGGAUUGAGAGGAUGAAGCCGAAUGGGGAUGUUGUAGAUACUAGUGAUCCGCUGGUGCUGCCAAGGUCAUGCAGAUGGUGUGUGGCUCAUGCAAUCUAGACCACCUGUUGACUUGUAAUCGGGGGCGGCACGGGAGUGGGAAGGAUUAUGCAUGACUGGUGUGGGC